UUGACCUCGAAUCAGGUAGGAAUACCCGCUGAACUUAAGCAUAUCAAUAAGCGGAGGAAAAGAAACCAACCGGGAUUACCUCAGUAACGGCGAGUGAAGCGGUAACAGCUCAAAUUUGAAAUCUGGCUCCUCUGGAGUCCGAGUUGUAAUUUGUAGAAGAUGCUUUGGGCGGUGGGUUCGGCCUAAGUUCCUUGGAACAGGACGUCAUAGAGGGUGAGAAUCCCGUAUGUGGCCGAGGCCCCACGCCUAUGUAAAGCUCUUUCAACGAGUCGAGUUGUUUGGGAAUGCAGCUCAAAAUGGGUGGUAAAUUUCAUCUAAAGCUAAAUAUGGGCCAGAGACCGAUAGCGCACAAGUAGAGUGAUCGAAAGAUGAAAAGCACUUUGGAAAGAGAGUUAAACAGUACGUGAAAUUGUUGAAAGGGAAGCGCUUGCAACCAGACUUGGGCGCUGCCGAUCACCAAGAGUUCGUCUCGAGUGCACUCGACAGCGCACAGGCCAGCAUCGGUUCGGGUGGCUGGAUAAAGGCCGUAGGAACGUGGCUCCCUUCGGGGAGUGUUAUAGCCUACGGUGCCAUGCAGCCCAGCCGGACCGAGGACCGCGCCUUCGGGCUAGGAUGCUGGCGUAAUGGUUGUAAGCGACCCGUCUUGAAACACGGACCAAGGAGUCUAACAUCUAUGCGAGUGUUUGGGUG
RNAcentral lists this ribosomal RNA (690 nucleotides) under Erysiphe lespedezae. RNAcentral's name for it is "eukaryotic LSU rRNA". It matches the Rfam family "Eukaryotic large subunit ribosomal RNA", at positions 1 to 700 of the family's 3401-position model. The record is from RNAcentral. Lineage: Eukaryota; Fungi; Ascomycota; Leotiomycetes; Helotiales; Erysiphaceae.